RNAcentral lists this ribosomal RNA (252 nucleotides) under uncultured bacterium. RNAcentral describes it as "partial 16S ribosomal RNA". It matches the Rfam family "Bacterial small subunit ribosomal RNA", at positions 57 to 305 of the family's 1533-position model. The record is from RNAcentral.
GCAAGUCGAGCGGUAACAUUUCUAGCUUGCUAGAAGAUGACGAGCGGCGGACGGGUGAGUAAUGCUUGGGAAUUUACCAUUUGGUGGGGGACAACAGUUGGAAACGACUGCUAAUACCGCAUAAUAUUUUCGAAUCAAAGGUGGCCUCUUCUUGAAAGCUAUCGCCAAAUGAUGAGCCCAAGUGAGAUUAGCUAGUUGGUGAGGUAAUGGCUCACCAAGGCGACGAUCUCUAGCUGGUCUUAGAGGAUGACC